This 253-nucleotide ribosomal RNA is filed under the name uncultured bacterium. Its description in RNAcentral is "partial 16S ribosomal RNA". It matches the Rfam family "Bacterial small subunit ribosomal RNA", at positions 524 to 776 of the family's 1533-position model. The record is from RNAcentral.
UACGUAGGGAGCAAGCGUUGUCCGGAAUCAUUGGGCGUAAAGCGCGCGUAGGUGGCUUCAUAAGUCCGUUGUGAAAGUCAAAGGCUCAACCUUCGAAAGCCGAUGGAUACUGUGAAGCUAGAGUACGGAAGAGGCGAGUGGAAUUCCUGGUGUAGCGGUGGAAUGCGCAGAUAUCAGGAGGAACACCAAUAGCGAAGGCAGCUCGCUGGGACGUUACUGACACUGAGGCGCGAAAGCGUGGGGAGCGAACAGG